Molecule: long non-coding RNA, 467 nt
Filed under: Parus major (Great Tit)
Lineage: Eukaryota; Metazoa; Chordata; Aves; Passeriformes; Paridae
Description: lncRNA (ENSPMJG00000007121.1)
Source: RNAcentral
CAACCCUUUACCUUCAUGGGUGUGGUCAAAGAUUUUGUCCAAGAGGGGGACAAAAUGAUGGAGUAAUUCUCUCUCCAGUUUCAAAUGAACUACAGCUCUGCAGCUGCAGCUUAUGCAGAGGAGGAUGAUGGUGAGGGAUGAUGGGUUUGGUGGAUUUUGCCCUUGUGUUGGAGAGGUUCUCCUUGACUCUAGGCAUGUUACAGCUAUUUUUGGAUCAUCUGGAGUUUUAUCUGCCUGGUGAGCAAAGAGAGGCAGAAGAGUGCCACCAGCACCUGGGAAGACCUCAGCACUGGAGAGGAAAAGGAGCAGGAGCAGGGGCUCUGGAGCGUUGCAGACCUGGCACAAAUGAAGCAAACAUCUGCAAAUGUAUGAAAUACAACUGCAGCUCUUUAUCCAGCUCUGAGCAAGAACAGAAAUUCCUCCUGGGGAGCAUCUCCAGAUCCUUAUCUGGCCUGUGUGGGUUCAGU